Molecule: ribosomal RNA, 404 nt
Filed under: Acidobacteriota bacterium
Lineage: Bacteria; Pseudomonadati; Acidobacteriota
Description: Acidobacteria bacterium partial 16S ribosomal RNA
Rfam family: Bacterial small subunit ribosomal RNA
Source: RNAcentral
UGGGGAAUAUUGCACAAUGGGGGAAACCCUGAUGCAGCGACGCCGCGUGAGCGAUGAAGGCUUUCGAGUCGUAAAGCUCUGUCCUAUGGGAAGAUAAUGACGGUACCAUAGAAGAAAGCCCCGGCUAAUUACGUGCCAGCAGCCGCGGUAAUACGUAAGGGGCGAGCGUUGUCCGGAAUUAUUGGGCGUAAAGAGUGCGUAGGCGGCAAAUUAAGUCAGAUGUGAAAACUAAGGGCUCAACCCAUAGAUUGCAUCUGAAACUGAUAUGCUUGAGUCAAGGAGAGGAAAGUGGAAUUCCUAGUGUAGCGGUGGAAUGCGUAGAUAUUAGGAGGAAUACCGGUGGCGAAGGCGACUUGCUGGACUUGAACUGACGCUGAGGCACGAAAGCGUGGGGAGCAAACAGG